RNAcentral lists this ribosomal RNA (247 nucleotides) under uncultured Actinomycetes bacterium. RNAcentral describes it as "uncultured actinobacterium partial 16S ribosomal RNA". It matches the Rfam family "Bacterial small subunit ribosomal RNA", at positions 32 to 276 of the family's 1533-position model. Lineage: Bacteria; Bacillati; Actinomycetota; Actinomycetes. The record is from RNAcentral.
AAUCAACGCUGGCGGCGUGCUUAACACAUGCAAGUCGAGCGGUAAGGCCCUUUCGGGGGUACACGAGCGGCGAACGGGUGAGUAACACGUGGGUGACCUGCCCUCAGCUCUGGGAUAAGCCUGGGAAACCGGGUCUAAUACCGGAUAUGACUCCAUGACGCAUGUUGUGGGGUGGAAAGCCUUGUGCGGCUGAGGAUGGGCCCGCGGCCUAUCAGCUUGUUGGUGGGGUGAUGGCCUACCAAGGCGA